RNAcentral lists this ribosomal RNA (1366 nucleotides) under metagenome. RNAcentral describes it as "bacterial SSU rRNA". It matches the Rfam family "Bacterial small subunit ribosomal RNA", at positions 31 to 1398 of the family's 1533-position model. The record is from RNAcentral.
GAACGCUAGCGGCAGGCUUAAUACAUGCAAGUCGAACGGUAAGCACCUGCUUGCAGGUGACACGAGUGGCGCACGGGUGCGUAACGCGUAUGCAAUCUACCUUUACCUGGAGAAUAGCCCCGAGAAAUCGGGAUUAAUACUUCAUAAUAUUAUAGAAAGGCAUCUUUUUAUAAUUAAAGUUCCGGCGGAUAAAGAUGAGCAUGCGUGACAUUAGCUUGUUGGUAAGGUAAUGGCUUACCAAGGCAACGAUGUCUAGGGGAUCUGAGAGGAUUAUCCCCCACACUGGUACUGAGACACGGACCAGACUCCUACGGGAGGCAGCAGUAGGGAAUAUUGGGCAAUGGACGAAAGUCUGACCCAGCCAUGCCGCGUGCAGGAAGACAGCCUUACAGGUUGUAAACUGCUUCUAUACGGGAAAAAACCCUCGCUCGUGAGCGAGGCUGAUGGUACCGUAAGAAUAAGGAUCGGCUAACUCCGUGCCAGCAGCCGCGGUAAUACGGAGGAUCCAAGCGUUAUCCGGAUUUAUUGGGUUUAAAGGGUGCGUAGGCGGAAUGAUAAGUCAAUGGUGAAAUCCUACAGCUCAACUGUAGAAGUGCCACUGAUACUGUCAUUCUUGAGUACAUUUGAAGUGGGUGGAAUGUGUCAUGUAGCGGUGAAAUGCAUAGAUAUGACACAGAACACCGAUUGCGAAGGCAGCUCACUAAACUGUAACUGACGCUGAGGCACGAAAGCGUGGGUAGCGAACAGGAUUAGAUACCCUGGUAGUCCACGCCGUAAACGAUGAUUACUCGAUGUUGGCGAUAUACUGUCAGCGUUCAAACGAAAGUUUUAAGUAAUCCACCUGGGGAGUACGACCGCAAGGUUGAAACUCAAAGGAAUUGACGGGGGCCCGCACAAGCGGAGGAGCAUGUGGUUUAAUUCGAUGAUACGCGAGAAACCUUACCUAGGCUUAAAUGUAGAGUGACAUUCCGGGAAAUCGGAAUUCUCUUCGGAGCAAUCUACAAGGUGCUGCAUGGCUGUCGUCAGCUCGUGCCGUGAGGUGUCGGGUUAAGUCCCAUAACGAGCGCAACCCUUAUUCUUAGUUGCCAUCAGGUAAUGCUGGGGACUCUAAGGAAACUGCCUACGCAAGUAGUGAGGAAGGUGGGGAUGACGUCAAGUCAGCACGGCCCUUAUGUCUAGGGCUACACACGUGCUACAAUGGUCAGUACAGAGGGCUGCUACCUGGUGACAGGAUGCUAAUCUCGAAAACUGGUCUCAGUUCGGAUCGAAGUCUGCAACUCGACUUCGUGAAGUUGGAUUCGCUAGUAAUCGCGUAUCAGCAAUGACGCGGUGAAUACGUUCCCGGGCCUUGUACACACCGCCCGUC